UGGCCACAUCUCCCUCUCUUUCCCCUGCCUCCUUCUCCAGCACAGGCCGCCACCACAGCCAGGCCGGCGUGGGGCGCGCCACCAGCUCCACUUCGUCGCCGCACCUCCGCACUCCAUGCAUCCAUUCGCUGCACCGCGACCCAUCCACCAUAACUACCACGAGUCCCUUGCUGCACCUCACGCCACCAAUCUGAAUCUCUUCUUCCUUCUUGCUGUUGUUCAUCUCAACCUCGUUGUUGUUCAUCAUUGCUACUGCCCGUAGCUCUCUUCUUCUCUCUCAAACUUGUUGGUGUUGAUGCCCUCAACCUCCUGCUGCUCCUCUCUUCUUGCGCUCCUGCUGUUGCCCCUUCUACCCCUACCUCGCUACUGCUCUGCUUCUUUUCCAUCCCCACGCUGUUGCUCUCUACACCCCUGCUGCUGCUUCUUUCCCAGUCUUGCAAUAGCCCUUCUGCAUCUCCAACUUGCUACUGCUCCUCUGAACCUCUUCUCCUCCUAGUCUUGCUUCUAUCUUGCCGCUUCCCUGUAGCAGUUCCUUUCCUUCACCCGCUGCUCUCUUUGUGUGUGUGUGUGUGUGCGUGUGUGUGUGUGUUCGUGUGUGUGAGAUUGUGUGUGUUUGUACUUCAUAAGUAUUGAUAGUGUGUGAUGAAGAGAUAUGUUAAUUCCAGGGACAUGUAGUUGUUCUUAUAAUUUUGUUGAUCAGUGAGAAUUGGUACUGAUGCUUAUGACCUUCUAUUUCUAUGUAUGAGAUCUAGCCAAACCUGUCAUUUUAUAUAUUGUAAUUGCUGAAUAGUGUUCAGUUUUCAGUCCCUGUUUUAGCUCUAGUACCCGUGACAUAUAUGUUCGUGAUAUAUGUUUCAUGUGGUUUCGUAUUGCUGUUAUGUUGAUCAUUUUAGUGCUAGUACUGUGUCUUGUGUAAUCCAAACCAUAUAUGAUUUGUGUAUGUGACUAAUUGUCAGCUAGUAGCUUUUAAUAAUUCAUAUUGUUUCUUGUGAAUUUGUAGAAGUGAGAUGUAUGAACAUUUAAUUUCCAGUCUCUGUGUUAACGAUGUUAGUGUGAAUAUAUAUAUAUAUAUAUAUAUAUAUAUAUAUAUAUAUAUAUAUGUUUUUGUUGUGAUAUAUUUCUGUCCCUGUCGUACUAGCGUGUUCCUACCUUGUCUCAUACUUGCUAGUUAUAUAUAUACAUAUAUGUGGUCUUGUCUUGUCAAUUCCCCUUGUUGAGGAUGUCCGUCUGUAGUUUCAAUUUUCUCAAGUGAUAUGAAAACACCAAAAAAAGAGCGAGUUUCAAUCUUAAUCUCCUCGUGCCGUUUGUCAUUUUAUUUGUCAUCAUUCUAGAUUUGUAUUUUCUUCUUUCAUCAUCUAAAUUCUGUCACCUAGCUUUAGCCGAGCAUUGUUGCCGUCGCCUAGUCCCUGUGGAGAACACGACACUGCAGAUUUGGGCGAAAUACCCUGUUGUACUUACGAUUGAUCAUUUUGGCACCGUUGCCAGGGACUAGCGUCGAGUGACUGUGUUAGGCUAUAGACUAGGUUUUUCUUCUUUUUCUAGUUUGUGCCAUAUAUUUGUGAUAUAUCUCUAACCACUAACCCCUGCUCUAGUUAGUAUCUUUUUUGUUUUCUUUUCCUUUUUGCAUGUUAGAAUUAUCUUCUCGGUUAUGGCUUACUAUGCAGUUCAUCAGGCUUAUGCGAGCAACACUACAAACAACACGGAAAGUAUUCAAGAACUGAUAACUAAGAUUUCCCAUCAAUUAGAUGACUUAGCUCGGCGACGAGAAGUAGUUUUUGAGGAUAGGCCUAGCUCUUAUGAUCCUUAUUCUAGAGGCCAUCCUUAUGUUGCUCCUACCUGCCAUAUUUGUGGAUUUCAGGGCCAUUCGCCCGCUGAAUGUCAGCGUGGUUACUCCCAUCCUCCGGAUUGUUUUGGCAUGAGCUUCGCUCAACAGCAUAGCUCAUACCAAAACAAUUACCCAUAUGGGUGGCCUGAAAACCCGAGUAUGUCAUAUAGGAGCAACAACCCUGAGAUCUCAUCGUUUUCUUCUAGUAAUCAUAUGCAGGGAUUUAGGUAUGAAGAGGAGAGCCACAACCAUGCACCACAACAGUUUUAUUCACCUCCUACUCAUAUACCUCAAUACCAGGAGAUGUGUCCAAUGGAGUUAAAUGGUCCUCCAUUUGAUCAACCAACAACUCCAUCACCUUCCAAGCAAUCUCUUGUGCAAGUGCCCACACAAGAUGAAUUUGAUGAUAUAGAGAAGCUCACAUUGCUUAGUCUCGAGUUCACUUGGAGUGCUGAAGAUGAUCCAAUUAGGCCGGUGAUACUAGAUGAAAUGAAGAAGAUCAAGAGUGGGAAUGAGCUAGUGGAAGAAGUAAGGAAGAUUGAGAAGAACAUCAACGCUGGCAGCACUAUUUCUUUAUAGCUAGAGCUGAGUAUUUCUGGGAUUUCCAUUGAUACUUGUGAGGUUUCAAUGCCUUCACAUCCAGCUGAGGAAGAUAGUAAGAGCCGUGAGGAAGAGAUACCUCAGAUUCAAGAAGAUGUACUCGAAGACAAGGAACAAGAUGAUCCAGAGCUUGACUACCCAAGUGAUCAAGUUGAAGAUCCAAUGUCUAUCCCUCCUGAAGAAGUAAAAGAAGUUGUUGUAGUUGAAGAUGAAGAACCAGAGAAUCAUUUGCCAAUUGUCAUUCAAGAGUGUGAUAUUGUUCGAGGUGACAUUCCUUGGGACCCUGGUGGACUCAGAGCAUGGGGAUGAGGAGAAGCAAGGAGCACACAUGAAGAAGAGUGAAGCUGGAGCAUGCACGAGGAAGCAAAGGAGAGGAGCUGCAGUUGGUGAGGUGAUCGAGCGAGUGCUACAUCAUCAAAGCCCGGUGAGCUGUUUCAUGACCCAUUUUGAAAUCAUCAUCCAUUGAUGCUUGCUAAAUUAAAUUGCUUUUUGGGUUGCUUGUGCCAUUUCUUAAAUGUUGUCCCACUGAAUUUCACCUUUGACAUAUGGUGCUUGAUGAGAAUAUGCGAACUGAUUGUUGAAUGCCUUGUAAACUAGUGAUCUACACAAUGCUUGCUUUGCUGAAAGUAGUGAAGGCUACUAGUUUUGAGUGCUCAAAUCCCUAGUACACUAGAAAACUUAAUCAUUUUCUUCUUUUACCUUGAUACACCUAGAUCAUUAAGUGUCAGAUGCUGAGUUUGUGCCUAAUGUGUUCCCAUUCAGAGCAAUCACUCACCACUAUGGACUAGCAUGCUAUGUUCCCUGGAUCGGUAGUAUGUGAAUCAGACCUGGAUGAGUGAUGAUUCUUGUUUCCUUUUUGUAUUCAUUUGUUAAAUAAGUAAUAAUGAAUAAAUAAUUAUCUUAUCUUACCUAACAGUAGCAUGUCAUGUUCCCUGGAUCGGUGGCUUGUGAAAUCUGGUUGGAUCGGAUAGGAGUUAAUUAUAUUAAAAAAUGUUAUAUUUGUCGAACCAGGUGUAUACCAUGUUCUCUUGAUCGGUGGUAUGUUCCUUUGGCGAGACAAAUAAAAAAACUAAUAAUUGGUCGAGCCAGGUGCAUACCAUGUUCUCGGGAUCGGUGGUAUGUUCCUUUGGUGAGACCAAUAAAAUAUUACCAUUGCUUCCUUCAAAUUCAAUAAGUGGUUCAACCACAAUGUUCCUGGUAAUAAGUGAUCUGAUCACAAGUUUAAGUUCUUUUUGUUUUUUUGGAUCAUGCUCUCUUUAGGAACCUUUUGGCACAAUCAGCAUUUGAAUUUGUUGAUCCAUUUUUAUCAUUGUAAAAGUUUAAAAUGAUUGAGUCUACUAGUAUCCUAUUGCUUCGUAGCACUCUUAACCUUUGCUUUUCACAGGUAAUUCCAAAGCAUGCAAUGUUUGGAGAUCUACUUCACUGGGACAUUCUCUAGUCAGCUCACUGUUCACUGUCUAGCUCUUGUCAUAUGCCUUUACUUGAGGACAAGUAAAGAUUUAAGUGUGGGGGAACUUGAUAAGCACAUUUCAUAUAUAUAUAAUUUUGGCAUACAAAUAUACCAUUUGUUGAGUUCUGACAUUAGUUUUUGCUAUGAAAUACUGAAUAUUUGAAUGAUAAUCAUAUAAGAGCAUGUUGACUAGUGAAUUGUUUCUUUUGCAGAAAAGUGCGAGAAGGCACUAUAAACUUCAAGAUUCGGUCGAUUGCCAAACGCGAUGAGACUUGGGGCUGGAACGAGAGAACGAGGGACCCGAGCGAGAAGAAAAGAAGUAUCUAGGGGCAAGCUAAUGUUGGAGGAUCAUCUUGAGAAGAAAGGAAGCAGGAGGGCCAAAGUGAAAAAAUGGCAGAUCACAGGAGGUCAAAAUCCCUAGACUCCCUGAUUCCCAAAUCGGGCCUGGCCACAUCUCCCUCUCUUUCCCCUGCCUCCUUCUCCAGCAAAGGCCGCCGCCACGGCCAGGCCGGCGUGGGGCGCGCCACCGGCUCCACUUCGCCGCCGCACCUCCGCACUCCAUCCAUCCAUUCGCUGCACCGCGACCCAUCCACCAUAACUACCACGAGUCCCUUGCUGCACCUCAUGCCACCAAUCUGAAUCUCUUCUUCCUUCUUGCUGCUGUUCAUCCCAAUCUCGCUGCUGUUCAUCUUUGCUACUGCCCGCAGCUCUCUUCGUCUCUCUCAAACUUGUUGAUGCAGAUGCCCUCAACCUCCUGCUGCUCCUCUCUUCUUACGCCCCUGCUGUUGCCCCUUCUACCCCUACCUCGCUGCUGCUCUGCUUCUUUUUCAUCCCCACGCUGCUGCUACUCCUUCUCUCUACGCCCCUGCUGCUGCUUCUUUCCCAAUCUUGCCAUUGCCCUUCUGCAUCUCCAACUUGCUGCUGCUCCUCUGAACCUCUUCUCCUCCUAGUGCUGCUUCUAUCUUGCCGCUUCCCUGCAGCGGUUCCUUUCCUUCACCCGCUGCUCUCUCUGUGUAUGUGUGUGCGUGUUCGUGUGUGUGAGAUUGUGUGUGUUUGUACUUCAUAAGUAUUGAUAGUGUGUGAUGAAGAGAUAUGUUAAUUCCAGGGACAUGUAGCUGUUCUUAUAAUUUUGUUGAUCAGUGAGAAUUGGUACUGAUGCUGAUGACCUUCUAUUUCUAUGUAUGAGAUCUAGCUAAACCUGUCAUUUAUAUUCUGUACUUGUUGAAUAGUGUUCAAUUUUCAGUCCCUAUUUUAGCUCUA
Molecule: long non-coding RNA, 5135 nt
Organism: Triticum aestivum (bread wheat)
Lineage: Eukaryota; Viridiplantae; Streptophyta; Magnoliopsida; Poales; Poaceae
Exons: 2
Source: RefSeq, a predicted model, not a curated record